CACAUGGUGGGGAGGGGUCACUCAGGCUAGGCCAGUGUGUAUAUGUGAGGUGGGAGGUAUACUGUAUAGGCGAGGACAGCUAGGUCCUGGCCAGACGGGAGUAUGUGGUGGUGGUGGGAGAGGGUGCUGCAGACAGUGUGAAACAGCCAUCAGGGGUAGGGGCUGACAGAGGUGGUGAUUUACCCGUGUCCUGUGUGGGAGAUGGUGAUGUGGAGUUGUUUUGGGGGAGCCCAGCGUGGAGGAUUCUCGACUUCCACCCUAGGGCGAGGGCUGUGAAAUCUGAAAUAAUCAGGGAGCGCUAUUGGGAGGAGGAGGAGCCAGAGACCGUGAUGUAACCCUGGAAACCGAGAGGGGAGUCACCUUAGUGAAAGAUGAGAGGGAAAGGCCUGGGGUCGGAAAGCUGAGUGUGCUUGUGCGUGUGCGUACGUGUAUGUGCGUGUGUGCUGAAGUAAUGAUGUCACGAGGCCGGAGAAAUGGGGUCAGGUGUGUGGGCCAGAGUGGGGUGCUGGGGUGUGCUCGCGAAGCGCACAAGGUUGAAGUGCUGACGUCACGGGUUGGCGAGGGCGGGGCCUCGAAUGCAGGGUCUGGAAGCUGAGACGAAGAGAAGCUAGGAGAGUCUUGGGACUGGAAUGAAACCAGCAACCAGGAUGGGCCACUGGUCACAGAGCAAGGAUGGAGGAUGCAGCGACACUGGCCAUGGACCAGCCAGCUGGCCUGCAGGUGGAUUACGUCUUCCGGGGUGUGGAGCAUGCUGUGCGGGUGGUGGUGUCUGGGCAGGUGCUAGAGCUGGAAGUGGAGGACCGGAUGACGGCUGAUCAGUGGCGGGGCGAGUUCGAUGCCAGCUUCAUCGAAGAUCUGACUCACAAGACGGGGAACUUCAAACAGUUCAACAUCUUCUGUAACAUGCUGGAGUCGGCUCUCACUCAGAGCAGUGAGUCAGUCACCCUCGACCUGCUGACCUAUACGGAUCUGGAGUCCCUGCGGAAUCGCAAGAUGGGGGGCCGCCCAGGCCCCUUGGCCUCAAGAUCGGCCCAGCUCAACUCCAAGCGCUACCUGAUCCUCAUCUACUCUGUGGAGUUUGACAGGAUUCACUACCCGCUGCCCCUCCCGUACCAGGGCAAGCCAGACCCUGUGGUCCUGCAGGGCAUCAUCCGCUCGCUGAAGGAGGAGCUGGGCCGCCUUCGAGGGCUGGACGGCCAGGAUGCUCGGGACACCCGGGAGACUGAGAUCUGGCACCUGAGGGAGCAGGUUUCACGCCUGGCAACUGAGAAGCGAGAACUGGAGGCCCAGCUGGGCCAAUCACGAGAGGAGGCUCUGGCCGGAAGGGCGGCGCGCCAGGAGGCUGAGGCCCUGCGUGGGCUCGUCCGGGGCCUGGAGCUAGAGCUGCGGCAAGAGCGGGGACUUGGACACCGCGGGGUUGGCCGCCGCAGCCAGGAUUGCCGGCGCCUGGCCAAGGAGCUCGAGGAGGUGAAGGCUUCAGAGCGGAGCCUGCGCGCCCGGCUUAGGACAGUGAACAGCGAGCUGGCCGUGUACAAGAGGGGGAGACGGACUCCGCCGGUGGCGCUGCCCCGGGCUCGGGAGGAUCGGGCUUCGUCGUCGCGGGAACGCUCCACAUCGCGUGGUCGCGGUGCCACCCGCUCUUCUUCCCGGGAGAGUGGCCGGGGGGCCCGGGGUCGAGGCCGCCCUGCCCUCCCCUCACCCUCGCCCACAGGUAGUCGCGGGCCCCGUUUCGACCCCACAGCUUUUGUGAAAGCCAAGGAGAAGAAGCAGAGAGAGAUCAAGAUGAAGCAGCAGCAGCAGCGGAACCGAUUGGGCAGCGGAGGAAGCGGGGACGGUCCGUCCAUCUCCUGGUCUCGCCAGACUCGGCCCCCUGCUGCUGUGAGCGGCCGAGGGGACACAGCUAACCGCUCCCGAAACCGCAGCUCCUCGGUGGACAGUUUCCGCAGCCGCUGCUCCUCGGCCAGCUCCUGCAGCGAGUUGGAGGAUUUCUCCGAAUCCCUUCCUAGAGGCGUUCCCCGCCGCCGCCGCCGCCGCGGGAAGCCUCCCAGCCCCACAACCUGGGGUGGGUCCAACACGCAGCAGAAGUCCACCUCUCUGGAACGCGGCCGUCAUCAGAGACGCCUGACCAAUUCAGGGGGCUGGGUCCCUAUAAAAGAAUACAGCUCCAACCACCAGGCGGCAGACAUGGCUGAAAUAGACGCUCGCCUGAAGGCCUUGCAGGAAUAUAUGAACCGACUGGACACACGGUCGUGACCUCGACGGGGAGUACUGCCCCUCCAUCCCCCACCCACUGCUGGAUUCGGAGUGGGGGGGGGCGGGGCUGGCGUAUCCUUCCAGACCCACUCAGGCUCCUCCCCUGCUGGUGCUCACGGGGGUUUCAGCCGCCAGAGGGAGCUGCUUCCAUCUAACAGGCUCACAUCCCUCCCAUGGUUCCUGUGUUCCAUGGUGGUCCACAAGGCCCUGCGACCAGGGCCAUAUUCGCACUGUUUUUGUGUCCCCCAUCCCAGCACCCGGGCAGGGCCUGGCAUAUAGUAAGUGCCUAAGGGCAAGAGCCCAUGAACUUGGGGUUCCCAUUGCAUGCCAGGUGGUGUCCUAAGGGCUUUGCAUGUAUGUAUUGGCUGAUUUAGUGACCCAGUGGGGGCCACAAGCUGACUUUGCAGAGGGGGGAGAGGAAACUAAAGUGGGGAGAGGGUUCGUGACCCUGCCCCAGGUCUCAGCCAGCAACAAGCAGAGCUGAGAGUGGACCCUACCGCUCCCCCUGCAACCUCUCCCCCCCGCCCCACUGAACUAGCCUG
Ailuropoda melanoleuca (giant panda) is the source of this 2795-nucleotide RNA transcript. It is a transcript of the gene named coiled-coil domain containing 61, with no coding region annotated. The transcript has 16 exons. NCBI's taxonomy places the organism in Eukaryota, Metazoa, Chordata, Mammalia, Carnivora, Ursidae. The record is from RefSeq and is a predicted model, not a curated record.